This 245-nucleotide ribosomal RNA is filed under the name uncultured bacterium. RNAcentral's name for it is "partial 16S ribosomal RNA". It matches the Rfam family "Bacterial small subunit ribosomal RNA", at positions 524 to 768 of the family's 1533-position model. The record is from RNAcentral.
UACGUAGGUGGCGAGCGUUGUCCGGAAUUACUGGGCGUAAAGGAUGCGUAGGCGGAAAGAUAAGUGAGAUGUGAAAUACCCGGGCUUAACCUGGGGGGUGCAUUUCAAACUGUUUUUCUAGAGUGCAGGAGAGGAAAGUGGAAUUUCUAGUGUAGCGGUGAAAUGCGUAGAUAUUAGGAAGAACACCAGUGGCGAAGGCGACUUUCUGGACUGUAACUGACGCUGAGGCAUGAAAGCGUGGGGAG